Non-coding RNA from Pelobates cultripes (western spadefoot toad), 293 nucleotides. The record is from the annotation of a GenBank genome assembly. NCBI's taxonomy places the organism in Eukaryota, Metazoa, Chordata, Amphibia, Anura, Pelobatidae.
GUACAUUCCCAUUUGCUAUAACCAAUUCAGUGAUAUGAAAUGGUUAUAGUACCUACCGUGUCCCUUAGAGUAAAGAGAGGAAAGCAAACAAAAGAAUAUGCAGGAAAAAGUAAAAUUCACAUCCAUCACCAUGGAACCAGAGUGUUGGAAGAUCUACAAAUAUAUAAAUAAAAUGAGAAGGCAUGUAAUAUUGAAAAAGGCUAGAGAGGUAACUCACCAGGCUGGGUAUAUAAACUGACUUUUAUAUGUUAACUUCUCAAUAUGCUAGUUAAUGUGCUUUAUUUGUAUUAACC